GCAAUGGGGGCAACCCUGAUCCAGCAACGCCGCGUGAGUGAUGAAGGCCUUCGGGUUGUAAAGCUCUGUUGAUGGGGAAGAAGGCAGUGACGGUACCCAUCGAGGAAGCACCGGCUAACUCCGUGCCAGCAGCCGCGGUAAUA
This 143-nucleotide ribosomal RNA is filed under the name uncultured bacterium. RNAcentral describes it as "partial 16S ribosomal RNA". It matches the Rfam family "Bacterial small subunit ribosomal RNA", at positions 368 to 525 of the family's 1533-position model. The record is from RNAcentral.